GUCUUGCUCGCUGCUCGGAGUUUCACCGUGUUGAGAGACGUCUGAUGGGACGCUUUGGCCUCUGCAGAUCUCGCGGACGCCAGCACGGACGAGGAGGGAGCCGAGGCCGCGAAGAGGACAGGCACCGCCAGAGGCCACGCAGAGAGUCUCGAGGACGUUCCCCUUCCAGAUCGGCAUCGCCGCCCGAGC
This is a long non-coding RNA of Hippocampus comes (tiger tail seahorse), 189 nucleotides long. RefSeq lists it as uncharacterized. The transcript has 2 exons. NCBI's taxonomy places the organism in Eukaryota, Metazoa, Chordata, Actinopteri, Syngnathiformes, Syngnathidae. The record is from RefSeq and is a predicted model, not a curated record.